UGUACUCCAGAGUAUAACUGGCUCCCAGAGGGGAGAUUUACAUGUGUCCGGGGCCUUGGUUAUUUCAUCUGAUGACCUGGUUUCUGCAGCUCUGCCCAGCAGAUGCCCCUCAAUCACCUGGCUCAGGAGUUAGGGGGACUUGACCAAAGAGAUGCUUAUCCAUUUUGCUCCAGGAAUUUGUGAUGUAGGAGCUCACUUCACCUUGCUGCCCAUCUGGGGGAAGGAUUCAUAAAGCAAAGAUGAAAUGACAGGACUACCCAAAAUAAAUUCUGUCCUUUGAAGAUGGUGUUGUAAAGGAAUAUGACCAAAUUCAUUCUGAUUUUGCUUGGAGUUAUGUGCCUUCUGGAGACAGUGUUUUAUCCAGUGGAAGAAAGUUUAAUCAAAACGAUGUUUUUGGCCAACUGCAAAAUGUUUACAACUGUCUCUGAAAGCCAGCCACACAGUUGGCCACUUACUCCACUUACACAGCAGUUCUCAGUUGCAGAAAGGCUAUAGGACAGAUGCAGAAGAUCCAGUGAAGGAUGUGAAGAUCUCCUAGCUGUAAAACACUUGCUAGAAGGACUUUUAAGAACUACUAGAUGAAAUCACCACCACUAGAGUGCAAAGCCACUCACUGACACUCAUUUACUGCACUGUGGGUUAUCUGAGUUAAUAAAAUUUAGGAUAUUUUUACCCCCA
Molecule: long non-coding RNA, 678 nt
Organism: Canis lupus familiaris (dog)
Lineage: Eukaryota; Metazoa; Chordata; Mammalia; Carnivora; Canidae
Exons: 5
Source: RefSeq, a predicted model, not a curated record